Non-coding RNA from Papio anubis (olive baboon), 75 nucleotides. The record is from Rfam. NCBI's taxonomy places the organism in Eukaryota, Metazoa, Chordata, Mammalia, Primates, Cercopithecidae.
ACCAUCCAGGACCUGCGGGACAACAUUCUUGGUGCCACCAUUGAGAACUCCAGGAUUGUCCUGCAGAUCGACAAU